This 282-nucleotide long non-coding RNA is filed under the name Nicotiana benthamiana. RNAcentral describes it as "long non-coding RNA (NBEN_LNC015968)". Lineage: Eukaryota; Viridiplantae; Streptophyta; Magnoliopsida; Solanales; Solanaceae. The record is from RNAcentral.
AUAAAUGAGUUCUUUUUGAUUCUGCAUCUUCACGUCACUCAAUAGGAGAAUUGACCUAUUUCAUACUUCUUCAAAUAGCAAAGAUUCAGCUUAUAAGGAAUGAUUAAAACUAUUUAUAUUUCUAAAUUUAGUAAAUUUAGAAAGUUUCCUUUUGAUCAUCAUUAUUUGAAGAAAAUUUGAUAGAUAAAGAUCACUUUUGAUCAUCUUAGGAAAGAAAAAAGAUAAGUCUUUCUUUUUUAAUUGAAUCAUCAACGAUUUCAAUGAUCUAAAAUAGAUAAAUAC